GGGCUUGACAUCCCACGAACCUGCCUGAAAGGGCGGGGUGCCCGCAAGGGAGCGUGGAGACAGGUGGUGCAUGGCUGUCGUCAGCUCGUGUCGUGAGAUGUUGGGUUAAGUCCCGCAACGGGCGCAACCCUCACCCCUAGUUGCCACCGGGUAACGCCGAGCACUCGAGGGGAACUGCCAGCGUCAAGCUGGAGGAAGGCGGGGAUGACGUCAAGUCAUCAUGCCCCUUACGCCCUGGGCUACACACGUGCUACAAUGGUUAGUACAAAGGGAUGCGAGACCGCGAGGUGGAGCCAAUCCCAAAAAGCUGGCCUAAGUUCAGAUUGCAGUCUGCAACUCGACUGCAUGAAGGAGGAAUCGCUAGUAAUCGCGCAUCAGCACGGCGCGGUGAAUACGUUCCCGGGCCUUGUACACACCGCCCGUCACACCACGAAAGCUGGCUGUACUCGAAGUCGCUGAG
This 460-nucleotide ribosomal RNA is filed under the name uncultured Methylomirabilota bacterium. RNAcentral's name for it is "bacterial SSU rRNA". It matches the Rfam family "Bacterial small subunit ribosomal RNA", at positions 977 to 1434 of the family's 1533-position model. The record is from RNAcentral. Lineage: Bacteria; Methylomirabilota (SeqCode).